This 253-nucleotide ribosomal RNA is filed under the name uncultured bacterium. RNAcentral's name for it is "partial 16S ribosomal RNA". It matches the Rfam family "Bacterial small subunit ribosomal RNA", at positions 524 to 776 of the family's 1533-position model. The record is from RNAcentral.
UACGGGGGGGGCAAGCGUUGUUCGGAAUUACUGGGCGUAAAGGGCUCGUAGGUGGCCAACUAAGUCAGACGUGAAAUCCCUCGGCUUAACCGGGGAACUGCGUCUGAUACUGGAUGGCUUGAGUUUGGGAGAGGGACGCGGAAUUCCAGGUGUAGCGGUGAAAUGCGUAGAUAUCAGGAGGAACACCGGUGGCGAAGGCGGGUCUCUGGGCCGACAUUGACGCUGAGGAGCGAAAGCGUGGGGAGCGAACAGG